RNAcentral lists this ribosomal RNA (446 nucleotides) under uncultured bacterium. RNAcentral's name for it is "bacterial SSU rRNA". It matches the Rfam family "Bacterial small subunit ribosomal RNA", at positions 329 to 792 of the family's 1533-position model. The record is from RNAcentral.
UCCCAGACUCCUACGGGAGGCAGCAGUGGGGAAUAUUGCACAAUGGGGGAAACCCUCAUGCAGCGACGCCGCGUGAGCGAAGAAGUACCUCGGUAUGUAAAGCUCUAUCAGCAGGGAAGAAGAUGACGGUACCUGACCAAGAAGCUCCGGCUAAAUACGUGCCAGCAGCCGCGGUAAUACGUAUGGAGCAAGCGUUAUCCGGAUUUACUGGGUGUAAAGGGAGCGCAGGCGGCCUUGCAAGUCUGAUGUGAAAGCCCGGGGCUCAACCCCGGGACUGCAUUUGGAACUGUAAGGCUAGAGUGUCGGAGAGGCAGGCGGAAUUCCUAGUGUAGCGGUGAAAUGCGUAGAUAUUAGGAGGAACACCAGUGGCGAAGGCGGCCUGCUGGACGAUGACUGACGUUGAGGCUCGAAAGCGUGGGGAGCAAACAGGAUUAGAUACCCGCGUA